RNAcentral lists this non-coding RNA (668 nucleotides) under Pan troglodytes (chimpanzee). The record is from RNAcentral. Lineage: Eukaryota; Metazoa; Chordata; Mammalia; Primates; Hominidae.
CGAUUCUGGGAGAGGAGGUGCUCGGAGGAAAGGGCGGGGGUUGCUGAUGUAAUGGGGAGAAGUGAUUAAUCCUUCGGUUCGCCGUUUCAGCUUCCCCCCUACCCCAACCUUCACCCGAUUUUUUUGAACUGAAAAAAAAGUGGAACGAGGGAGCCAAUCUUUGGUCCCACAAACUGCAAGGAAAAGAAAAACCCUCAAGAGGAAUUACCUUUAUACCUGAUGCCCCCAACAUAAUCUCUCUCCAAGGGAAACUUGUUUUUAUUGCCUUGCGGCUGUUACGAUGACUGAAAAUGUAUUCUGGAUUCUCCCCCUUCUCUCUUUUGUUUUGCAUUUUUUGGAUGUGGUAAAACUGGCAGUUUAUCUGAUUAUCUGGUUUUCAGAACUUUGGACGAUGUCUCUGAGUGUCAUCAGUUGCUGUCUAGGUUUGACAUAGAUAAUUAAGCAACUACAAAGCGUGAUAAAGCUUUUGAGAGGGAGGAAAGUGUAUUUUGGAAGGAGGGAGAGACGCAAAGAGGCGAGCCUGUGUGUUGAGUCCCAGACUUGGUGUGUGACUACAGGCAAAGUACUUCACCUUUCUAGAUGUCAGCCCCGCCCCCCUCACCUCCCAAGUUUAAAUAAGAACUUAUUUUAGACUACAUGAUCCUGUUUUCAAUUUUUAAGAGUUCUGU